UCACUCUCACCGUGUCCGCCACCAGCCUUCCUCCUCGGAGCUUCUUCGGAAAGAACGGGCAUAUCGCCUGAAGAAGAACGGAAAAUGUUGCCGUGUAGUGAGAAGUUGCUGCCACUCUUCACACAUUAUCAUCACCCGCCCCCUUAUUUGCGCUCAACUCCUCAUGAAGACACGGUAUAUCCACAGGGACCGCUUACAACAUUCUCCCUUUGCGCAAAAGUGGACGAAGGGAAAAAGUCAAUAAUACGCGGUGGAACAGUGAGCCUCGUUAAUGCGCAAGCCUUUUGAAAUUCUCCAUGUACGCUGUUUUAGCCAGAGCGACCCCAUGUGCUCGUUAUUAAUGAAUUAUCCAUCUGGCCGCCGUCGACUAUCAUAUUGUACGUGUUGCGCUGAAGCGCCACCGACUGGUCCUUUGACCACAUGCGGAAUAAAUUGUGUCUGGGACCAGAAUCAGAAACUUAUACUACGGCGAAGGCUUGGCUUAUGAAUAUUAAAUGAGCAACGGCUGACGUUGCUUAGUAACCCUCCAGGAGUGUCCAUUCACGAACCCUAAUUAUGUUUUAAUCUUUGGACACUCUUUGGUUAAACCGCUUGCUGGUUUGAUAUAGCGGGUUAGACGUCACUCAAGCUAAUUAAUAUGCAUGAGCCGACGCUUCGUCGUAGUAGGAUGUGUAUAUCCGCGCCCGGGACCUCCCAAAAUUGGAUCGUGGAUGUGAUCGCAUAGCCUGGCUAUUUCAAGAUCCUCUGUAGAACCGAUGAAAAACGCACUCGACCACCUGUCGUAGAAAAAAAAAAGUCAUUUAUGUUUUAUCCAAACGCUUAGUGGCUUUUUAAAAUAAAUACGUUUUUGCUCAGUGCCUUUGCUUAAUAUGUAAUUAGAAUAAUCCGUUGUUAUCACAUAAAUGUUGUCUCUGAAGUCUGUUAAGCGAUGUAAAUGUAACCUGUGUGUGACAUUUAAAUUAAGACAUUUUUUAUAGGUCACUUUUGGGGUGAAACAGUCUUAUCAUUAGGCAACAGACCGUAAAUGUAUGCAUUUUUCUUCCGUUAUUUGAGAUUCACGUUCUGAAGGGUCUCAUUGCAGGUGUGGAGCGGCCCCCUGUGGUGACACAUGGAUGUAGAUCGGUCGUAAACUCCGGUAUUAUUCCUCUUUUUCCACAAAUGUAAACGUUAUAAUAGCAAACGUAAACGUUACGGGCCUAGUACGAAGAAAAAAAGAACAUAAAAACGUAUUCAAAAUAUUUUAAGAGCUCAUUUAAAUACCAAUAUUGUGUUUGUAAAUGUUUUUUUUCCCGCGUUCUCCGUUGUUGACGUUUUCCCCACAUUAUGUUGAAAGAGAUCUGUGGUUUUCUAUAGAGGUUGAUUUAAUUCAUUGAAAUAGUUAGUCACUGGAAGACACGCCCUUCGCGGUGUCGUCAUCACGGCUCGAGACGGAGGGUGAGGGAUUUCAUACGGUCACACGGCCCGGUAUAUUUUCGCAAAAUAUUCAGCUGUACGAAUGAUCAUCCACACUGCAUUCGUUAUUCAGCUAACAUCGGCGAUCCUCUGCGGGGGUGGGGUGCGUGAGGGCCGCUGUCAGGAUCCCACCCUGUGGGGCAGCCUCACACUGAAUGGUGUCUCCCACAAUGAAGGCUUUGGUGGAUGCAGUCUGGGUGGUGUGGAGCAUCGGGGCCUCAGUCUAUGACUACAUCCACACCAACGCCAUGGAAGAACGCAUUCACUCACUGGAGAGCGCUAUAACCGUCCACCAGUGUGUCAUUGGACUGCUCUCUGCUGGACUUGUGGCCCUCUUCACCUACAUUCUUCUGAGGAAGCACUGACCCAGGAUUUCAGCCAUUUUUUGUAUGCAAGACUACAUGCCAAGCUUUGUUCAGUUCAUUUUAAAGGGAUUUUAAGAAGUCUGACUUUUACCUAAUUGAUUAUUUGCUCAACUUUCUUAGUUUCCGCUUCUGUUAAAAUGUCCCUACUGUAUUAGCUGUGUAAAGCAAAAUAACAGUAUCUCUAAAUUAAAUAUAGUCUUCCGCCAUGUCUCAUAAUGAACUUUUAAGCUCAUUGAUGGCUACCACAGAGGAAAGAUUCAGAGAAGUUACCUGUUCUCAGUUCUUUGCACAAAGCUUGGUGACAGCUGAACAAACAAAACGCAGAAUAACUACUGGAUCAUCAGGCUUUUCAGCCUGUUUGCUGCUAUCAUCAGUGUGUCUCGGUUUCAUUUAACUUGACAAUGACUAAGCAUAAUGCAACUUAUUUAUGUUAUCCUAUUACAGUUCAGCUUAUUUCGUAACAUUAUGGUUAAUGAGAGGCAUCAGUGUCAUCAAUUAAAUGAUUGAUUGCACAGCUUGAUAGAGAACUUAAAGUGUCCUUAAUCACAAGGUAUCUCAUGUAGUCAACUUCAUAAAGUUAUCAGUGUAUUAACUACUACAUGUGAAGUGGGUUUUCAACAUUGAUUUCAUCUGAAAGCUCAUCGGUUAAUGCACUAUUGUUUUAUAGGUUCUAAUUCUUACUUUUACCAUGUUUUUUUCCUUGAGGCAAAAACUUACUCAUGUUGCACAUGUUCUGUCAUAGCAAAGUGAAUGUUUAGCUUUGUAACGCAAAAAGAAGUCAGAGUAUUUUGACUUUGAAUUGAUGAUACCUACUAAAGCAUUUCUCUACUGUA
Molecule: long non-coding RNA, 2650 nt
Organism: Puntigrus tetrazona (Sumatra barb)
Lineage: Eukaryota; Metazoa; Chordata; Actinopteri; Cypriniformes; Cyprinidae
Exons: 2
Source: RefSeq, a predicted model, not a curated record